GCAUCCUUGUGUGGACUGCACACGCCCAGUGGUUUUGACUAGAGGACUGGAGCUGGAGCCCGACAUGGGUCAGGACUUUUCCUGGAGCACAUGAAGGGCUGCCACCUUGACAGAAGAGCUAGAGCAAGAGCCAGGUGUGGCCCAGUGCUAGGGUGGUCAUAGCAGGCUGGCUAGAAUGCCAGUUUCUUUUCCAUCUGCUGCCUCUGACCUGGGACUCAGAACAAGUCAUCCACAUUACUCCAGUGUUCCUCUGUGCUCAUUCCUUAGUGUCUGCAAGGUAAUUGCUGGAGGAGGAAAUGGGAACCCACACCAGUAUUCUUGCCUGGAAAGUUCCAUGGGCAGAGGAGCCUGGCAGGCUACAGUCCAUGGGGUCACAAAGAGUCGGACACGACUGAAAAUGCACACACACAAGAGUAUCCCCUCCUCCCUUUAUCAUGGCUGCUAUUUCUCUGUAAGUGCUGCACAUUCUUCUGUCACUGCCCACACCCUGCCAACACUCGACGAGUGUCCUGUGAAUGACUGAUGGUCACGUCCAUUGCAUGGUAUCUCCUGAUAUGAAGACUCAUUGGAAUGC
This 574-nucleotide long non-coding RNA is filed under the name Bos indicus x Bos taurus (hybrid cattle). RNAcentral describes it as "lncRNA (ENSBIXG00005001952.1)". Lineage: Eukaryota; Metazoa; Chordata; Mammalia; Artiodactyla; Bovidae. The record is from RNAcentral.